GAUGAACGCUGGCGGCGUGCCUAAUACAUGCAAGUCGAACGCACAGCGAAAGGUGCUUGCACCUUUCAAGUGAGUGGCGAACGGGUGAGAUAACACGUGGACAACCUGCCUCAAGGCUGGGGAUAACAUUUGGAAACAGAUGCUAAUACCGAAUAAAACUUAGUGUCGCAUGACAAAAAGUUAAAAGGCGCUUCGGCGUCACCUAGAGAUGGAUCCGCGGUGCAUUAGUUAGUUGGUGGGGUAAAGGCCUACCAAGACAAUGAUGCAUAGCCGAGUUGAGAGACUGAUCGGCCACAUUGGGACUGAGACACGGCCCAAACUCCUACGGGAGGCUGCAGUAGGGAAUCUUCCACAAUGGGCGAAAGCCUGAUGGAGCAACGCCGCGUGUGUGAUGAAGGCUUUCGGGUCGUAAAGCACUGUUGUAUGGGAAGAACCAGCUAGAAUAGGAAAUGAUUUUAGUUUGACGGUACCAUACCAGAAAGGGACGGCUAAAUACGUGCCAGCAGCCGCGGUAAUACGUAUGUCCCGAGCGUUAUCCGGAUUUAUUGGGCGUAAAGCGAGCGCAGACGGUUUAUUAAGUCUGAUGUGAAAGCCCGGAGCUCAACUCCGGAAUGGCAUUGGAAACUGGUUAACUUGAGUGCAGUAGAGGUAAGUGGAACUCCAUGUGUAGCGGUGGAAUGCGUA
Molecule: ribosomal RNA, 684 nt
Filed under: intestinal bacterium CPA-35A
Lineage: Bacteria
Description: bacterial SSU rRNA
Rfam family: Bacterial small subunit ribosomal RNA
Source: RNAcentral